GAAACUAAAUAGGAUUCCCUCAGUAAUGGCGAAUGAACAGGGAUAAGCUCAGCAUGGAAAUUGGGGCCCUCGGCCUUGAAUUGUAGUCUUGAGAUGUGUUACCAACGGAGGCGCAGAUGUAAGCCUCUUGGAAAAGAGCGUCAGGGAGGGUGAGAGUCCCGUAUGUCAUCUGCAGUUCUCUGUGCACGGUGCAUGUUCUAAGAGUCACGUUCCUCGGGAUUGGAGCGCAAAUUGGGUGGUAAAUUUCAUCUAAAGCUAAAUAUUGGUUCGAGACCGAUAGCAAACAAGUACCAUGAGGGAAAGGUGAAAAGGACUUUGAAAAGAGAGUUAAAAGUGCCUGAAAUUGCUGAAAGGGAAGCGAAUGGAACCAGUUGUUCUUGGUGAGUAUUGGUGUUGUCUAAAGUGAUGGCUUGCCACUUCAACGCAAGUGUGGUGGCAGGUUUUGAUCUGGAUGCGAUACUGCUUCUCGCCUUGCAUGUCAACGUCAGUUCAUAAUUGAGGAAAACUCUAAGGACAUGGUAAUUCGCUUCCGAGUGACUGAAUGUCCUCAGUUGAACUCAUUUUUGAACUGCUCUCUGUGUGUCUGGUAGCACUGCUUCAUGUGCUUGCCUGCGAUCUACUGCUCUGCAUGAAGGUUGUUGGUGCCAGGAGCAUGUCCUUGACAUUAGAACGAUGACGAAAUGGUUUUAUUCGACCCGUCUUGAAACACGGACCAAGGAGUCUAACAUAUGUGCAAGUUCACGGGCGGGAAAACCUGCUUGCGCAAUGAAAGUGACUGCUGGGAUUUUUGCACCAGCAACCGACCAAUCAAUUGUGAGAGGUUUGAGUAUGAGCAUAUCUGUUAGGACCCGAAAGAUGGUGAACUAUGCUUGAGAAGGGUGAAGUCAGGGGAAACUCUGAUGGAGGCUCGUAGCGAUACUGACGUGCAAAUCGUUCGUCAUACUUGGGUAUAGGGGCGAAAGACUAAUCGAACCAUCUAGUAUCUGGUUCCC
This 992-nucleotide ribosomal RNA is filed under the name Karenia mikimotoi. RNAcentral describes it as "LSU rRNA". It matches the Rfam family "Eukaryotic large subunit ribosomal RNA", at positions 61 to 959 of the family's 3401-position model. Lineage: Eukaryota; Dinophyceae; Gymnodiniales; Kareniaceae. The record is from RNAcentral.